CAGCAGUAGCCACGGUAAUACAGAGGGUGCGAGCGUUAAUCGGAUUUACUGGGCGUAAAGCGUGCGUAGGCGGCUUCUUAAGUCGGAUGUGAAAUCCCUGAGCUUAACUUAGGAAUUGCAUUCGAUACUGGGAAGCUAGAGUAUGGGAGAGGAUGGUAGAAUUCCAGGUGUAGCGGUAAAAUGCGUAGAGAUCUGGAGGAAUACCGAUGGCGAAGGCAGCCAUCUGGCCUAAUACUGACGCUGAGGUACGAAAGCAUGGGGAGCAAACAGGAUUAGAGACCCCUGUAGUCCCUGUCUCUUAUAC
RNAcentral lists this ribosomal RNA (304 nucleotides) under uncultured bacterium. Its description in RNAcentral is "partial 16S ribosomal RNA". It matches the Rfam family "Bacterial small subunit ribosomal RNA", at positions 506 to 807 of the family's 1533-position model. The record is from RNAcentral.